GCAUCGGUGGUUUAGUGGUAAAAUUAGCCGUUGCCAUGUAUCUACAUGAUUCGGCUAGCCCCGGGUUCGAUUCCCGGCCGAUGCA
This 85-nucleotide transfer RNA is filed under the name Pyrenochaeta sp. MPI-SDFR-AT-0127. It matches the Rfam family "tRNA". Rfam says of the family: Transfer RNA (tRNA) molecules are approximately 80 nucleotides in length. Their secondary structure includes four short double-helical elements and three loops (D, anti-codon, and T loops). Further hydrogen bonds mediate the characteristic L-shaped molecular structure. tRNAs have two regions of fundamental functional importance: the anti-codon, which is responsible for specific mRNA codon recognition, and the 3' end, to which the tRNAs corresponding amino acid is attached (by aminoacyl-tRNA synthetases). tRNAs cope with the degeneracy of the genetic code in two manners: having more than one tRNA (with a specific anti-codon) for a particular amino acid; and 'wobble' base-pairing, i.e. permitting non-standard base-pairing at the 3rd anti-codon position. The record is from Rfam by way of RNAcentral. Lineage: Eukaryota; Fungi; Ascomycota; Dothideomycetes; Pleosporales; Cucurbitariaceae.